RNAcentral lists this ribosomal RNA (261 nucleotides) under uncultured bacterium. RNAcentral's name for it is "partial 16S ribosomal RNA". It matches the Rfam family "Bacterial small subunit ribosomal RNA", at positions 29 to 319 of the family's 1533-position model. The record is from RNAcentral.
AAUGAACGCUGGCGGCAUGCCUAACACAUGCAAGUCGAACGAAGCCUUCGGGCUUAGUGGCGCACGGGUGUGUAACGCGUGGGAAUCUGCCUUGGGUUCGGAAUAACAGUGAGAAAUUACUGCUAAUACCGGAUGAUGUCGAAAGACCAAAGAUUUAUCGCCCUGAGAUGAGCCCGCGUAAGAUUAGCUAGUUGGUGGGAAAGGCCGUAACCAAGGCGACGAUCUAGUCUGGUCUGAGAGGAUGAUCAGCCACACUGGGAC